UGCAAUGGCUGCCUGCAUCAGCAAAAUGCUUUGACGAGAAAAAAAUGCUUUAAUAUUAUUGAAUAUUCCUAUAAUCAUGGCCCGGCAUAGGAAUGUCCGGACUAUGAACUAUGAAGAUGAAUGCUAUGAUGAAGAUGAUUACCUCGGACACUCAGUGGAAGACAAUUACUGUAUAUCUCCGGGCACAGCUGCCCAGUUUACUUUCAACCGUGAGAAGGACUUUGAUUUGUCUACCUACAUGAGUAAUGAAAAGAUUCCUGAAGAGGAGGAAGGCUUUGACAGUGACACAGACCCUCAGUCUCUCAAUGACUCCCAGGGGUACAAAAAACCCACUCUCAGUGAUACAGACCAAGGAAAGUUGAAUUCUUGUUUAGAAGAAAUACGCAAUAUAAUUGGAGAUAACACCCCGGACCAUGUGUUAUGUCAGACCAUCAUCAGAAACAAAUACGACCUCCAGGCCAGUCUCAACGAGCUACUUACAACAGACGCAACUCCCAAGCCCCAGAGACAGCCAAGACAAAGUCGACGGAACAGACCACAAGGCGAUGACAAUGUUGAUGAUGAUUUAAAUAUGUUUAUUGAGUCACUUGAAUCUGAAUCACUAGAAAAAACACAUUUCCUCUCCGACCAAAACAGACAUGUAGGAAUUCUAAAAUUUGGUAAACAGUCUCCUGUAGUUGAUAGUCCUAUUCACAAUAAUGUGAGACAAAAUAAAACUGACAUUACUUCAUCAGAAUCGGCUGACUCCUUUAUAUCCAGUAUUGUAUCAAAUACUGCACUUGGUGAAUCAGAUAGUAGUCUCAAGGGAACACUUCAGCCUGCACAGCCUAAGGACAAGGUCAGCUUGCAUGGUCAAACCAAAAGUGCUGGAUUUUCACUAUCCAACCUGGCUAAACAGCACAGUGUAGGUGCUACAGGUCAGGAAGUGAGACUGGCUUCCCUGGCAAAACCAUGUGUAAAAGGUCAACAGGUGAUGAAGAACAAAGACUUGAGUAGUCUAGGAAAGCUUUCUCCUCAGACAACUGGGGUGACCCCACCACUGGAGGGAGCUACAGCUAGUGAACAGCAAAAUGCCAGGCAGCCAUUAACAUCUUCACAAUUUACAGGUGGAUCCCAGUCGGGGUCAAACAAGCCCGCAGGGUUGUCACUCACAGACUUGAUCAAACAAAGUGGAACAGACAACAAGGCUGGUCUAGGUGCCAAGGAUGCGUCAUUGAUACAUGGACAUGCAUCCAGAGUAUCGCUUGUAGAUUUGGCAGGUCAAAGGUCACAAUCGGAUGUAGGUGAAGUUAGCUUGGGAAGUACAAACACAAAAGUUUCACUUAGUGAUCUUGCUACGUCGUCCAAGUCGUCUGGCCCACUUAAACCUGUACAAAAGCCAGGUCAAUCUUCAAGCAAGAUUGGGAAAUCACUGGCUGAUUUGGCAAGUCAACACAAAGCAGCAACAGGGGGGGCAGACAUGAAUCCAUUGAAGCCAAAUUCUGUUGCAAAAAAGUCUGUGGUUUGUCAAUUGUCAGGUUUAUCUCUUGCAGACAUGGCAAAAAGUCAAAAGUCACAACCACUUAAAGGACAAACAACAAGCUGCAAAUCUCUGCGAGACUUGGCACCAAAGCUGAACAGGGUGGCCAAAACUCCAUCUUUUUCUGAUGUGUCAAAUCAAAGUAGAUCCAAAAAUGUCGAGCAAUGUGUAGAAGAAAGUAGCAUGUUGUUGUCUGGAAAGGCAGAACCUGUCUCCCUAGUCCAGGAGAAGAAUACCAGAAAUGAUGAACAAGCUUUGAGUGAUAAGUUUUCAGAGUUAAUGACUACAAAGAUUGACUAUUUUUUGGAAGAUGAAACAGAUCUCACUGACAGGGUCAGGAUGGUUUCACCAUCCAUUCUUGCAAAGACUUUAUCUUCAUCUUUUGUUCGUUCCAAACAGCUUGAUGCUAAAAAACGACUAAGAUUUCGGAAGUUUUCAUAUCGAGUGCAAAUGUGUAAAGUGAAAGAAAAUUUGGCCAUGGUAAAAAAAAAUAUUGUGUCAUUUGAUUUUUCAACACCAUCUCCAGACGACAUCAUAAAGGAAAAACAAAACUUAGCUUUCACACGAAGUGGAAGAUAAACUGAGAUUUUUCCAAAUGUUAACUGUUGUAUUUAGCAUGAUGUAAAUAAUUCUGUUGUUGUUAUUUACUCUUAACAAAUGAAUGAAUACUUGUCCUAUAAAAUGACACGGCUUAAUGUAAGUGUGUCAUUAAUGUGUACAGAAGCACUUGUAGUUGUUAGUGUGAUGAUGUCAUGAUAGUGUACUUAUGUACAAGGUUUAGUGCACUUAUGUACAAGGUUUAGUGCACUUAUGUACAAAAAGGUUUAGUGUACUUAUGUACAAGGUUUAGUGUACUUAUGUACAAGGUUUAGUGUACUUAUGUACAAGGUUUAGUGUACUUACUGUAUACAUAGCUUUGGUUUCCUUUUGUACUUCACUAUAAAAUCACAUUAUUUUACCUGCUAGUUGACAUUUAAGUACAAAUUGUAUUUAGUUCAUAGACAACACUGAAAAAAUUAGUUUUGCUUGCAAUUACUUGAAUUUUUUUAUAGUGAUCAUUUGUUACCGUUUAGUUAUUCAAUGUAAACUUUGUAUGAUAAACUGUGUCUAUUAGAUAAUGUAUAUAUUGUAAGGCUGUUUAUAUAGAUACAUAGUGUACAUACAAAGCAUGCUAAAGAAGGCUCAACUGAUCUAUUGCGAUCACCUUUUAUUUGUCAUCCAAAGGACUGGUGAUCUUAUGUCACGGUGCAGCGUCUGUUCAGUUGUCAAUCGUCCACCAACUUCUCAUUUAAAACACUACUAGUCCUGAAUGGCUCUGUGGAUUUUGGUCUGGAACAUCCUUGGGCAAAGGGGACUCAAUUUUGUAUAAACAGAGAGUGUAGCCUCCUGGGGGAGGAGGGCCAAUAUUGGGGACUUAGUAAUAAAUGUUUAGAUUGGGGAAAAUGAGAUUUCUCUUUUAAAUUCUUCUCUUUCUGUAACAUUGAAGGGAUUUUAACCAAAUUUGGUCAAGAGCAUGCUUUGGCACGAGGGACUCAAUUUUGUAUAAUUAUAAGCGAAGAGUGUGGACCUCCUGGGGGAAGAUGAGCAGGGCCUGAUGGGGGGAUCCUAGUGACACAUAGACAUGAAGAGGUGGAGACAUUCAUGCUAUCAGGAUUGUCCUGGAGGUCCAGACCAACCCCGAUCCCCUGGGGACAUAAUUAUCAUUAUUAAGCCGUAACUGUCCAUUAUUAUUUUUUAUAAUAGACACUACUGGCCUAAUAAUGGACAGUUAUCGAUAACAAAAAUGAUUUUAAGCAACAGCAAAUUUUAGAAGCAAAUCCACAAUUUACUUCCAACCUUCAGCUAUAUGGCUUUACUGGGUAUAUGUACAGUAAAAUACAAUCCAUUAAAUGCCACAGAAAGUUAUAAAGUGUUGGUUUACAUGUUAAUAUUGGUUGAAUUGUUUUACACUUUGCUUCAGCAAUUUUGUCUAUGCAUGCAACCUAAGUGCCUUUUUUGUAAACUUAAACUAUUGUUCUCUGUUCGAUUUGAUGUAUUAAUCAACAUGUCAUUACAUUAAAAACAUUUAUAAAUGAUGUUGAAAGUGAUACACUUAUAUCAUCUUUUCCUAAGAAAAACAUGCACAAACUUGAAAUGACCAAGCUGGACUGACUGAUAAAUACUCAGGAUUCAGUACAUCAGUAUUUGGAAAUGAAAAGUAUGUGAAUUUUUAGGUCACCUGAGACAAAGUCUCAAGUGACCUAUUGCGAUCGCCU
RNAcentral lists this unclassified non-coding RNA (3774 nucleotides) under Mizuhopecten yessoensis (Yesso scallop). RNAcentral's name for it is "hBS1-like protein, transcript variant X1". The record is from RNAcentral. Lineage: Eukaryota; Metazoa; Mollusca; Bivalvia; Pectinida; Pectinidae.